CUGUUUGAACAGCUUGAUAGAAUGCACAAGAUGGUUUGGAUCACAGUUAUGAAGGAAAAGCUGACAGUAUUUCUGAGACAGCAAGAAAAACAUCAUUGCACACCACCAACUAAUAAGACUCCAAAGGAAUAACAAAGAUUAGAGUUUAAAGAAUGGAUUCAAUGCUGGUACUUGGAUAAAGAUAAUCAGGCAUGGACUCUCAUCUCCUAUGGAUCUUCAGCACCUUUAGGUUACAGUUUUAUAUUUCACUAGAAGAGACUCAUAAAUAAACAAAGGACAGUCAGUUACUACAAAAGAGAAGCAUCGGAGAUUAGUGAUAUUUUGUUCAGCAUUACUGCAUCUUACAAAGAUGUAAACUAUUAAAAUAUUGUUUACAUCUAUCAAUUAAUGAAUUUGAUACAUGUACCAGUAAUUAAUAAUUUUGAUGUGGGGUAAACUGAUAAAAUUGAAUGGAAAACAAGCAGAUGACUUGGUAAUGAUGUGUAAAAAACAUCAUUCAUUUAAUUAAUACAUGCAAUUGCAUGCAGUUAAAAUUCGGUCAAAAUUCUUGUGGUGUAUAUUGAAAGGUGUAACCAAGAGGGAAACAUAAAAUGAUUUUCAUAUUAUCAUUAAAAUAAAAGUCAAGUUGUAUAUUAUACAAUUAUUUCUGUUUUUGAGGUCAUUAUAAUGGCUUGCCUAGAUGUAUGCAUUCACCGAUCCUAAAGAAGGAAGUAUUAAUAUUGUCCCUCGAUGGUUGUUGGAUCAAUAUAUUAAUCCCCCCCCCCCCCCCAAAAAAAAAAUAAAUAAAUGCAAUUUCAAUUUUUGUAUAAUACCAUAUGUAUCAUACCCAUAGAGUAUGGUGUGUACAAAACAAGCGUGACCUUUUGAUUUGGCUGUUGGACUUUAAACAAAAAAUUUUAGGCUGAAAAAAAACCUCAAAAAUGGGAUAUGAUACUGUUUUUUUAAAUAUGGAUUAUCUCCCUUUUCAGCUUAAAAUUAGAACAUUUUACUGGUCAUGAAAAUAUUUUGAUUAAAUGAAAAGUAAAAUUGUGUUGUAUUUCAAAUUGGAAAAUUGAGAAAUUUUUUUGAAAUGUCAAUUUAUUCUUACAUGCAUACCCGGUAUAUAUUCAUGGUAUGUGUAU
Saccostrea echinata is the source of this 1121-nucleotide long non-coding RNA. RefSeq lists it as uncharacterized. Lineage: Eukaryota; Metazoa; Mollusca; Bivalvia; Ostreida; Ostreidae. The record is from RefSeq and is a predicted model, not a curated record. The transcript has 3 exons.